RNAcentral lists this ribosomal RNA (911 nucleotides) under Rhizophagus irregularis. RNAcentral describes it as "eukaryotic LSU rRNA". It matches the Rfam family "Eukaryotic large subunit ribosomal RNA", at positions 38 to 802 of the family's 3401-position model. The record is from RNAcentral. Lineage: Eukaryota; Fungi; Glomeromycota; Glomeromycetes; Glomerales; Glomeraceae.
GCAUAUCAAUAAGCGGAGGAAAAGAAAAUAACAAUGAUUCCCCUAGUAACUGCGAGUGAAGAGGGACAAGCUCAAAUUUUAAAUCUAUCGGGUUUUACCUGAUCGAGUUGUAAUUUGAAGAAGCGUUUUCUGCGUAUUUGGUCAGCCUAAGUCCUAUUGAAUGAGGCAUCAUGGAGGGUGAUAAUCCCGUCCGGUUGAUCAUUUGCGUUUUACGAUACGCUUUCUAAGAGUCAAGUUGUUUGGGAUUGCAGCUUAAAAUGGGAGGUAAAUUUCUCCUAAGGCUAGAUAACGGCGAGAGACCGAUAGCGAACAAGUACCGUGAGGGAAAGAUGAAAAGAACUUUGAAAAGAGAGUUAAACAGUACGUGAAAUUGUUGAAAGGGAAACGAUUGAAGCCAGUCGUACCUUCGGGUAAUCAGCCUUUCGGGUGCGAUUCUGUGGAGUGUGAGGAGCUUAAACACCUUCAUGUUUUGCAUAUUCGUACUCUUGGGUGUACUUGCCCGUGUGGUUGGUUAACAUCAAUUUUGGUGGUCAUAAAAUGACUGGGGGAAUGUAGCUUCGAUCUUGUAUUGAAGUGUUAUAGCCUUCGGUAGAUGUGAUGAUCGAGAUUGAGGAUUGCAACGGAUACCCUUUGGGGCUACCUGUCUGAUCUCUGAUCGUUGCUUUGGUGCCGAAAGCUUGCUUACGGUUAUCAAAGUCGAUGGUCAAUAGGUUAGAACGGGUUAAAUUCGUUAAGGAUGUUGACGUAAUGGUUUUAAACGACCCGUCUUGAAACACGGACCAAGGAGUCUAACAUAUAUGCGAGUGUUAGGGUGAUUAAACCCUUACGCGUAAUGAAAGUAAUUUUGGUGGGAACACUUUUGUGCACCAUCGACCGAUCAGGAUAUUUUUUGAUAGAUUUGAGUAAGAGCA